UACGUAGGGGGGCAAGCGUUUGUCCGGAAUUAUUGGGCGUAAAGCGCGCGCAGGCGGUUCUUUAAGUCUGGUGUUUAAACCCGAGGCUCAACUUCGGGUCGCACUGGAAACUGGGGGGAACUUGAGUGCAGAAGAGGAGAGUGGAAUUCACGUGUAGCGGUGAAAUGCGUAGAUAUGUGGAGGAAACACAGUGGCGAAGGCGACCUCUA
Molecule: ribosomal RNA, 209 nt
Filed under: uncultured bacterium
Lineage: Bacteria
Description: partial 16S ribosomal RNA
Rfam family: Bacterial small subunit ribosomal RNA
Source: RNAcentral